This 245-nucleotide ribosomal RNA is filed under the name uncultured Lactobacillus sp. Its description in RNAcentral is "partial 16S ribosomal RNA". It matches the Rfam family "Bacterial small subunit ribosomal RNA", at positions 118 to 354 of the family's 1533-position model. The record is from RNAcentral. Lineage: Bacteria; Bacillati; Bacillota; Bacilli; Lactobacillales; Lactobacillaceae.
UGGGGAACCUGCCCCAUAGUCUGGGAUACCACUUGGAAACAGGUGCUAAUACCGGAUAAGAAAGCGGAUCGCAUGAUCAGCUUUUAAAAGGCGGCGUAAGCUGUCGCUAUGGGAUGGCCCCGCGGUGCAUUAGCUAGUUGGUAAGGUAAAGGCUUACCAAGGCGAUGAUGCAUAGCCGAGUUGAGAGACUGAUCGGCCACAUUGGGACUGAGACACGGCCCAAACUCCUACGGGAGGCAGCAGAA